Molecule: ribosomal RNA, 236 nt
Filed under: uncultured bacterium
Lineage: Bacteria
Description: partial 16S ribosomal RNA
Rfam family: Bacterial small subunit ribosomal RNA
Source: RNAcentral
UACGAAGGGGGCUAGCGUUGCUCGGAAUUACUGGGCGUAAAGCGCACGUAGGCGGUCUUUUAAGUCGGGGGUGAAAUCCUGGAGCUCAACUCCAGAACUGCCUUCGAUACUGGAAGACUUGAGUCCGGGAGAGGUGAGUGGAACUGCGAGUGUAGAGGUGAAAAUUCGUAGAUAUUCGCAAGAACACCAGUGGCGAAGGCGGCUCACUGGCCCGGUACUGACGCUGAGGUGCGAAA